AACGAACGCUGGCGGCAUGCCUAACACAUGCAAGUCGAACGAGACCUUCGGGUCUAGUGGCGCACGGGUGCGUAACGCGUGGGAACCUGCCCUUAGGUUCGGAAUAACUCCCCGAAAGGGGUGCUAAUACCGGAUAAUGUCUUCGGACCAAAGAUUUAUCGCCUUUGGAUGGGCCCGCGUUGGAUUAGCUAGUUGGUAGGGUAAAAGCCUACCAAGGCGACGAUCCAUAGCUGGUCUGAGAGGAUGAUCAGCCACACUGGGACUGAGACACGGCCCAGACUCCUACGGGAGGCAGCAGUGGGGAAUAUUGAACAAGGGGCGAAAGCCUGAUCAAGCAAUGCCGCGUGAGUGAUGAAGGCCUUAGGGUUGUAAAGCUCUUUUACCCGGGAUGAUAAUGACAGUACCGGGAGAAUAAGCUCCGGCUAACUCCGUG
RNAcentral lists this ribosomal RNA (433 nucleotides) under uncultured bacterium. RNAcentral describes it as "partial 16S ribosomal RNA". It matches the Rfam family "Bacterial small subunit ribosomal RNA", at positions 29 to 507 of the family's 1533-position model. The record is from RNAcentral.